Molecule: non-coding RNA, 77 nt
Organism: Podarcis lilfordi (Lilford's wall lizard)
Lineage: Eukaryota; Metazoa; Chordata; Lepidosauria; Squamata; Lacertidae
Source: the annotation of a GenBank genome assembly
ACUCAAGUAUAGAGUACAGUCAGUAGGGCAUGAGACUCUUAAUCUCAGGGAUGUGGGUUCGAGUCAUACAUUGGGCA